Molecule: unclassified non-coding RNA, 305 nt
Filed under: Hevea brasiliensis (rubber tree)
Lineage: Eukaryota; Viridiplantae; Streptophyta; Magnoliopsida; Malpighiales; Euphorbiaceae
Source: RNAcentral
CGGCCUUCCCAUUUGGCUUUGCCUGUAUAGCAGCUACAAGCUUGUCUGCGUCAUCUAUCUCUCGUAGAUAAAAUAUGUUGUUGGCAUCUGCUCCUUGAACGCCAAAAUCGGAGAGCCUUAUGACCGUGGAACCAGUAGCAAUAAUCAAAAUGUCAUAUGUAAAGGUUGCACCAGCUGCACUAGUAAGAGUCUUGGAAGGAAGAUCUGCCUUCACUAUUUCUGUGCUCAGUAGCAGUUCUAUACCUUUUUCAGUAUACCAUUCAGGAAGCAGUCUCUCUCCCCCACUUCCAACACACACAUGAAAU